UACGGAGGGUGCGAGCGUUGUCCGGAAUCAUUGGGCGUAAAGGGCGCGUAGGCGGCGGGCCAAGCGUGCGGUGAAAGCCUGGGGCUCAACCCCGGGUCGGCCGUGCGAACUGUUUUGCUUGAGCACUGUAGAGGCAGGCGGAAUUCCGGGUGUAGCGGUGGAAUGCGUAGAGAUCCGGAAGAACACCGGUGGCGAAGGCGGCCUGCUGGGCAGUAGCUGACACUGAGGCGCGACAGCGUGGGGAGCAAACAGG
This 253-nucleotide ribosomal RNA is filed under the name uncultured bacterium. RNAcentral's name for it is "partial 16S ribosomal RNA". It matches the Rfam family "Bacterial small subunit ribosomal RNA", at positions 524 to 776 of the family's 1533-position model. The record is from RNAcentral.